RNAcentral lists this long non-coding RNA (566 nucleotides) under Ananas comosus (pineapple). RNAcentral describes it as "long non-coding RNA (ACOM_LNC029447)". Lineage: Eukaryota; Viridiplantae; Streptophyta; Magnoliopsida; Poales; Bromeliaceae. The record is from RNAcentral.
GUUUGGUACUUUGAUGAUGACUGACUAUGACGUUUAUGUUUGAUCUUUUGAUAUGAUAAGUAUUCUUGAAUCUUAAUUGUGUUUUAAGAAUGUUUUUGCAGGUAUAUUCAAGACUUCAAGACUCCAUGUUUAAGUCAUAGAGUUUGUAUUAGGAAUGUGUGAAAAGUGUAAUUUUUCUUUUAUUAGAUCGAUCAUGCAGGAGAUUGUCGUUUGGUGAUUGCAAUGAUCUUCUUUUUAUGGUUUCUGAGUUGUGUACGAGCAUUAUAAUAUAUUUUGUCACGAAAUCGCCAAAGGGGAAAUUGUUAAGGAUUUUCUAGGUUGGCGGAUUUCGUAAAGUCGAAUGGAGUCUUGAAGAGUUGAUCGCGGUAGUUUGAAGAGAAGAUUCAAUUUGAAGAGCAAAGACUCAUUUGGAAAGCUCAGCACCUCAGGUAUGAAGAAUAGAUCAUUUGUGAUGAAUUUAUCUAAUUACAAUAAGUUCAGAAGACUUAGAUUGCUUUAAAACACUUAAACUGAACUUUUCAGUGUUCUGGGACCGGUCCCAGAGUUGAGAGACCGGUCCCCGAGGG